Capsicum annuum is the source of this 1432-nucleotide long non-coding RNA. RefSeq lists it as uncharacterized. The transcript has 3 exons. The record is from RefSeq and is a predicted model, not a curated record. Lineage: Eukaryota; Viridiplantae; Streptophyta; Magnoliopsida; Solanales; Solanaceae.
UCCACCCUUACUUUCUAUUAAAAUUAAUAAAUAUUUCUCAUUUAAUAAACUCAUGGGCCAGCAAUUCUCCAAUCCUAAACUAAAACUGCCAAGACAACAUAUUAAAUUCUUCCAAUUUCCAGAUCCCUAAAAGUUUCAAUUUCUCCAAAUUCUCUUCAAGCAAAUUAUUUGGAACAAAAAUCAUCAACAGACAACACUACAAUAAUCAUUAACAAGGAACAACAACACAAGAAUUUGUUAUUGAUUCUUAUGAAUCGAAAUGGAUAGAUAUUUUUCUCCUCAACCAAGUUCUAGUUUUAAAGAGAUCAACUUCGAGACCAUUAAGCAGAAAUGUUGGAGCAACUACUAGAAAGUGGUGAAGUUCAAAGUGAAAAAGAAUUAAAUCAAGAACGAGGACUACAAAGGUCAGGUGACACUCGUUGGGGAUCACAUUUUAGAACAUUGGAUAACUUCAUUAUUUUAUUUUCAUCUAUAGCUCAUGUGAUUGACGUGAUUAAAUGUGGAGGCUCUAAUCCCAAUGAUUGAUUGCAAGCAAGAGCUUUUUUUACUCUGAUCAAUGAAUUUGAAUUUAUUUUCUUGCUUCACUUGAUGUUGAAGAUAUUGGUGAUGUCCAAUGAGCUGAGUGCAUCAUUACAAAGAAAAGAGCAAGAUAUUGUCAAUGCUAUGAUAUUUCUUGACAUUAUACUAAGAGAAGAUUGCAAUUGUUGAGAGAUGAUGGAUGAGAUGCUUUGAUGAAUGAAGUUUGUGUAUUUUGUGAUAAACAUGAAAUCUUAGUACCUAAGAUGGAUGAUUUUUAUCUUUUCUAAAAUUCAAAGCGUAGGCCUUCUAGUGUUACUUACUCACAUCACUUACGUGUUGAGCUCUUUUAUGCUAUAACUGACUUGCAACUUCAAGAGCUUAAUAAUUGUUUUGAUGUUGUGAGUGGUAACUUGCUUAUUGGUAUGGCAAGCUUGAGUCCAUCUAAUGCUUUUGCUAAUUUUGAUAAGGAAAAAAUAAUGAUAUGGGCCAAACAUUAUCCAAAUGAGUUUGGUGAAUCAAAGUUUCGGGAGCUUAGUUACCAACUUGAUACUUUCAUUAUACACAUGCGACGUAGUGAUCCUAUAUUCUCUAAUUUGAAAGGAAUUGGUGAUUUGACAGAAGCACUGGUUAAUGCAAAUCUUGUAGAAACUUAUUCUCUUGUGUACUUACUUGUGAAGUUGACCUUGAUUCUACCAGUCGCUACUACAACUGUAGAGAGAGCUUUUUCAUCCAUGAAGCAUGUCAAGAAUGAAUUGCGUAGCAGUAUUGGUUAUACAUUUUUAAGUGGUUGUUUAGUUUGUUACAUUGAGAAGGAUAUAUUUAUAAAUAUAAGCAACGAUACAAUCAUUGACCCUUUUCAGAAUAUGAAAACGCGUUGAUGUCUAGUAUGAAUGGAUGAUCUACUUUUGUUAAA